UGCAGCAAUUGGGUUACAUAAGUGUGUACACUCGUAAAAGUUUACUUUAGUAAAAUGAAUGUUAAUAAAAAUUCAGAAUUCACUCUCUUUGGUUGGAGUUCAUCAGAAUUCUGCAUUCUGACUGCAGGCAAGUAAAAGUGAUAGUUUCAAUUUAUCCAGUCUCAUUUUCAUAGAUAACAAAACUCUGGCAUUUUACCUGGUGGUGUAAAUACUUUUUGCGUCUACUGGAUAACAGUUUUGGAAUGUUGUAAAGCAAAACAACCUGAAUUUUAGCCAUGAAUAUUGAAAACAUCCUACUAGAGUCUGGUACUAUCAGAAAAAGCACAUGCUGAGAUCACAUCUGGUGCACUACAACUCAACAGAGCCAAACUGGAGUAAAUAAACACUCUCAGAAUCUGCAACACAAUCACAGAGUGCUGCAUGGAUGCAAUACUUGGUAGGCUGGUACAUUUGAGAAGGAAGGAAAAUGCUGAGUCACGGGAAAUGAUAAUGCAAUAGCAUUACUCCACAUGACUGUAUCAUCAAUUAUUGUCCUUCUAUGGUCCAGCCCCGCACACCUAAUAAAACAAAUUACAUCACUAAAACAAGUAAUUAAGACAUCAAUUUUAAAAUAAAAUGUACUGUAUCUAUCUUAUACUCUGGUAGACUUUAGGUACUGCAUUUCUGGGGUCCCCACAUGUCGUAAUUAGAUGAAAGAGGUGAUUAAAAAGUGUUUAUGACUAUUAAAACUGAUAACACACCCAGAUUCCUAAGAUAAUUCUGCUGUAGACUCUGACCUGUGACUACAACACAGUUAUGCAGCAAUAGAGAGAUGACAUACAUCGUGUGCAUGUUCUCGGCAGCUGAGUUGAGCUGAACGUUCUGUGUUGGUCACUUGGGUUAAAACAACCGAUCGACCAUGUUUGGGAUGAACUUGCUUGCGUUUUGUGUGCUCCUGUGUGCUACCAGCUGCUCAGCUGAAAACACUGUAAGAUCAACAAAAAGGACUCUUCAGCCUUGGUUGAUUGGUGUGUCAGCUGCCGUUGGCUUCCUGGUCAUUGUCUUUAUUCUCCUGAUCGGAAAAAAACUACUAAGUAUAAAAAGGGAAACAGAGGAGAAACGGGGCUAUGAAUUGACCCAAAAGCUGGACCUGGACGUCUAUGAAACCAAUCUGUAGAAACUCAUCUGCUUUUCAGAAAACUGCUGUACCCACGCAGUGACCAGCCCAAUAGUGAUGCACAUUUUCAACAGAGAAAAUGGCUGAAUUUAAUUUACGCUAUCAUCCUAUGUAAUGAGGACUCCUUUUCUAAGUCAUCUUUUUUUACAAGUUAUAAAAUCUGACUAAAACAGAAAGACUUUAUAGACAGUGUAAAUAGUACAGUAACAUCACAGAUGUUCCUCUUCAGGUUCACAAUUAUGUGAAGUCACCAAGAAUGUAAACAAAUAUAUUAAAAAUAUAAGUACAAUGUAGAGUUGGGUUGACAUAAUAUUUUUAACUAACCUUUGAUUGCUUGCACUGCUAUUUUCUUUGAGACAAAAGUGUUGCCAUUUGGAAAUAUUUUCAUUUUGAAAAUGACGAGUUGAAAAAGUUGAAUUCUUAGAGGUAGGGUCAAAAUGAUCUAUACUCCUUGUAGGUUUAGGUAGGCCUCUAAAGACUGAAUGUAAUACUAAUGUUUUGAUUGAUCUAGCCAGAGUCCCCACUUAACUAUGAUAAUGAAGUUUUGGAAGGAGCUAAAUUUAAUGGCAAGGAGACGUUCUAACCUCAAUGACUUGGACCUUAUUAAAAAGACGAAUGGUUAAAAAUGCAAAAAGGCUGCCUCUAAGUACAAAUGUUAGUUUGUUGCAACGCAAAGCAAGACUGGAGAAGGAUAUAAAUAAUUUUCAACCUGUCAUUUUUGUUAAAAUGUAAAUAAAAACAGACUUUCCAAAAAUAA
Long non-coding RNA from Xiphophorus hellerii (green swordtail), 1913 nucleotides. RefSeq lists it as uncharacterized. The transcript is spliced from 3 exons. The record is from RefSeq and is a predicted model, not a curated record. NCBI's taxonomy places the organism in Eukaryota, Metazoa, Chordata, Actinopteri, Cyprinodontiformes, Poeciliidae.